RNAcentral lists this ribosomal RNA (1265 nucleotides) under Parborlasia corrugatus (corrugated ribbon worm). RNAcentral describes it as "16S ribosomal RNA". The stretch from base 785 to 1177 matches the Rfam family "Bacterial large subunit ribosomal RNA", at positions 2049 to 2651 of the family's 2925-position model. Lineage: Eukaryota; Metazoa; Nemertea; Pilidiophora; Heteronemertea; Lineidae. The record is from RNAcentral.
UCUGUAAAGCAUGAGUUUUUUAAGUAUUGGAGAAAGAAAUUUUGUAUAAGUAAUUAUUUAAGUACUGUUAAGGAAGUUUUUAAAAGUUUUUUAAGAAGUUUUGAUUCUAACUUUUUGUAUCAUGGUUUAAUGAGAUUUUAAUUUUAGUUUUUUAGUUCUCGAAAUCUUGUGAGCUAUUUUUUUUACGUUGAGUACUUUACAUAAGUUAAUGUUGAAUAAUUAUUUAAAUAAAAAAAAAUAGAAGUGAUAUUCUUUCGCACAAGAUAAUAGCUUGUUUUUGCUAUUUUUCUCUUAGGAUUUUUAUUUUAGGAUUGGUUUACUUUUAGUUUUUUGGGGAUAAGCUCUAAAAACUGAUUAAAAUAACUCUUUUUUGGCUUUCUUGUGGGCAUAAAAGCUGCCGCCAUUUUAAGUUCGUUUUAGACUAGCUUCGCUAGGUAGUUUUUCUUUUCUAAGCAAAUUUCUUCAAUAAUUUUUUUGUCUAAAGAUAAUGUUAAUAUUAGUACUAUUUUUAGUAACAGAUUUUGUUUUAAAGUGAUAGUUAUCUUUUUCUAUUGAAUUUUGAAAGUUAAAAAAAAGGAAUUCGGCAAAAUGGAUCCCAUCUGUUUAUCAAAAACAUAGCUUAUUGCUUUUUUUAAUAAGUACUUUCUGCCCGGUGUAAUUUAUAAACGGCCGCGGUAUCUUGACCGUGCAAAGGUAGCAUAAUCAUUUGUCCUUUAAUUGGGGGCUAGAAUGAAGGGAAAUUUGAGGUUCCGUCUGUCUCUUUUUUGUAAAGGUAAUUUGCUGUUUUUGUGAAGAAGCAAAAAUUUUUAAAAAAGACAAGAAGACCCUAUUAAGCUUUUACUUUUAUAGUUGUUAAUGUUUUCUUUAAAGUACACUUGUUAAUAUAUAAAAGUUUGGUUGGGGUGACUAAAGAAGAAAAAAAUCUUCUUUUUUAUAACAAACUAUUUGUUCAAAAAUGACCCAAAAUUUUUUGGUUUUAAGAAUAAGUUACUAUAGGGAUAACAGCGUAAUCUUUUCUUAAAGUUCGUAUUGAAGAAAAGGAUUGCGACCUCGAUGUUGACUUGUUUUUUCCUAAUAAGGUGUAGCUGCUAGUAAGGUUGGUCUGUUCGACCAUUAAAAUAAUACGUGAGUUGAGUUCAGACCGGCGUGAGCCAGGUUGGUUUCUAUCUUUUUAAUUUUAGUUUUAAGAUAACUAGUACGAAAGGACCGUUGUCUUGUAUUUUAAAUAUAUGUUUAUUGACUUUGAUUUAUUUAGCAGAGUUAAU